RNAcentral lists this long non-coding RNA (1292 nucleotides) under Brassica rapa (field mustard). Its description in RNAcentral is "long non-coding RNA (BRAP_LNC007720)". Lineage: Eukaryota; Viridiplantae; Streptophyta; Magnoliopsida; Brassicales; Brassicaceae. The record is from RNAcentral.
UUGAACCAUUUUAGAGUAAAAUAUGGAGUAAUACAUUGGAGAUGCUUUUAAUUUCAGUAAGUUCCAUUGUUUAAAUAUUAUAAUCAAAUCUUGAAAUGUUGAAUGAUAUAUCAAGGGUGUGAAUAUAUAGUCUUUUUUUUUUUUUUUUUUUGACAGCCGUGAAUAUAUAGUCUGUUUGGAGUAAAUAUUUGGAGAAACAAUUUUACUCAAAGUUCGGCUGAAAUGUUACCAAUCAGGUUAAUUAUUAUUAUUUAAUUUUUACUCAGUGUACUAUUGAUAAAGUGGAAAAAACAGUCUAAGGUUUCGAAUGGUAUGUAGAUCAAACCUAAAACGCAUAUCAAGCAGAACAAAUGCAGAAUAAAUAUAGAUCUAAUUGGUUAAGCUAAUUUAUCGAAUUAGUGUAUUUAACCAAAUGUUAAAAAUAAUUUUGUAAAUUAAAUAUCUAAAACAAAAAUACAAACUAUUAUCAAUGAUUUUUUUAUUAAUUUAAUAAAUACAAAGAAAGUUUUAAAAUCAUAUAAAAAGUAAACACAAUCACACCAAAAAAUCGUAAAAUAAAAAAAAUAUCAUUCUAAUAAAUAUAUUAUAACUUAAAAAUUAUAUAAAAUUUAUUAAAAUGACAAAGAGUAUUCUUUUUCCCUUUAAUUAUUUUAUAGUCCAAAUUAAAAUUUAAUUAAGAUCCAAAGACAUUAAUUAGGACUCGACAUAAAAUCCUUAACCUGAAUUUUAAACCAAACCCGAACCGAAAAACUGACUCGUACCAAGUCCAAAAUGUAAAACAGUAUCUGAAUGGGUUUUGUAUAGGCUUGGGCAAAAAAAAAAAAGAAACUGAAAAAUCAACUGGAACCGAACCGAAAUACCCAAAACCGGAACCUGACCAAAACCCUCAAAUACCCGAACGGUUUCUAUAUUUCUAUAUUCGAAAUAACCGAACCAAACCGGAACCGAACCGAGAAGCGAACGGGUACCCGAAUAUAUAACAAUAUUAAUUAUAUAUACAUAUAAUAUAACUACAUAUAUAUUUUUAAUAUAAAGAUCUGUUAAAAGUAUCCGAAAAUAAUUGAGAUAACUAAAUUAUUAUAAUGUAUCUGAACUACCCGAAAUUAUCUGAAACUAUCUAGAUAGUUUUAUCUGAAAUAUCCAAAGUAAUCCGAAAUAUCUGAAAUUCUUACCCGAAAGUGACUGUAAAAUAAUAAUUAAAGUAAAAUAUAUGCAAGUUAAAUAUAUAUUGUCAUAUCAAAUAAUAUGCAUGAAUUCAUCAAACUAUUUUAUAUAAAAAUAUAAAAAUUUCA